This 495-nucleotide ribosomal RNA is filed under the name uncultured bacterium. Its description in RNAcentral is "partial 16S ribosomal RNA". It matches the Rfam family "Bacterial small subunit ribosomal RNA", at positions 28 to 523 of the family's 1533-position model. The record is from RNAcentral.
GAUGAACGCUAGCGGGAGGCCUAACACAUGCAAGCCGAGCGGUAUUGUUUCUUCGGAAAUGAGAGAGCGGCGUACGGGUGCGUAACACGUGUGCAACCUGCCUUUAUCUGGGGGAUAGCCUUUCGAAAGGAAGAUUAAUACUCCAUAAUAUAUUGAACGGCAUCGUUUAAUAUUGAAAGCUCCGGCGGAUAGAGAUGGGCACGCGCAAGAUUAGCUAGUUGGUGAGGUAACGGCUCACCAAGGCGAUGAUCUUUAGGGGGCCUGAGAGGGUGAUCCCCCACACUGGUACUGAGACACGGACCAGACUCCUACGGGAGGCAGCAGUGGGGAAUAUUGGUCAAUGGGUGCAAGCUUGAACCAGCCAUCCCGCGUGAAGGACGACUGCCCUAUGGGUUGUGAACUUCUUUUGUAUAGGGAUAAACCUACCCUCGUGAGGGUAGCUGAAGGUACUAUACGAAUAAGCACCGGCUAACUCCGUGCCAGCCGCCGCCGUAA